RNAcentral lists this ribosomal RNA (326 nucleotides) under uncultured bacterium. RNAcentral's name for it is "bacterial SSU rRNA". It matches the Rfam family "Bacterial small subunit ribosomal RNA", at positions 32 to 334 of the family's 1533-position model. The record is from RNAcentral.
AACGACGACUGCGGCGAUGCCUAACACAUGCAAGUCGAACGAAGCACUUUUAUUUGAUUUCUUCGGAAUGAAGAUUUUAGUGACUGAGUGGCGGACGGGUGAGUAACGCGUGGGUAACCUGCCUCAUACAGGGGGAUAACAGUUGGAAAUGACUGCUAAUACCGCAUAAGACCACAGUACCGCAUGGUGCAGGGGUAAAAACUCCGGUGGUAUGAGAUGGACCCGCGUCUGAUUAGGUAGUUGGUGGGGUAACGGCCUACCAAGCCGACGAUCAGUAGCCGACCUGAGAGGGUGACCGGCCACAUUGGGACUGAGACACGGCCCAA